RNAcentral lists this ribosomal RNA (660 nucleotides) under uncultured bacterium. Its description in RNAcentral is "bacterial SSU rRNA". It matches the Rfam family "Bacterial small subunit ribosomal RNA", at positions 35 to 654 of the family's 1533-position model. The record is from RNAcentral.
GUGGGGCGGUGUGCUAUAAUGCAGUCGUACGCACUGGCCCAACUGAUUGAUGGUGCUUGCACCUGAUUGACGAUGGAUCACCAGUGAGUGGCGGACGGGUGAGUAACACGUAGGUAACCUGCCCCGGAGCGGGGGAUAACAUUUGGAAACAGAUGCUAAUACCGCAUAACAACAAAAGCCACAUGGCUUUUGUUUGAAAGAUGGCUUUGGCUAUCACUCUGGGAUGGACCUGCGGUGCAUUAGCUAGUUGGUAAGGUAACGGCUUACCAAGGCAAUGAUGCAUAGCCGAGUUGAGAGACUGAUCGGCCACAAUGGAACUGAGACACGGUCCAUACUCCUACGGGAGGCAGCAGUAGGGAAUCUUCCACAAUGGGCGCAAGCCUGAUGGAGCAACACCGCGUGAGUGAAGAAGGGUUUCGGCUCGUAAAGCUCUGUUGUUGGAGAAGAACGUGCGUGAGAGCAACUGUUCACGCAGUGACGGUAUCCAACCAGAAAGUCACGGCUAACUACGUGCCAGCAGCCGCGGUAAUACGUAGGUGGCAAGCGUUAUCCGGAUUUAUUGGGCGUAAAGCGAGCGCAGGCGGUUGCUUAGGUCUGAUGUGAAAGCCUUCGGCUUAACCGAAGAAGUGCAUCGGAAACCGGGCGACUUGAGUGCAGAAG